CCUACGGGGGGCAGCAGUGGGGAAUAUUGGACAAUGGGGGGAACCCUGAUCCAGCCAUGCCGCGUGUGUGAAGAAGGCCCUCGGGUUGUAAAGCACUUUCAGUGAGGAAGAACGCCUGGUGGUUAAUACCCAUCAGGAAAGACAUCACUCACAGAAGAAGCACCGGCUAACUCCGUGCCAGCAGCCGCGGUAAUACGGAGGGUGCGAGCGUUAAUCGGAAUUACUGGGGCGUAAAGCGCGCGUAGGUGGCUUGAUAAGCCGGUUGUGAAAGCCCCGGGCUCAACCUGGGAACGGCAUCCGGAACUGUCAAGCUAGAGUGCAGGAGAGGAAGGUAGAAUUCCCGGUGUAGCGGUGAAAUGCGUAGAGAUCGGGAGGAAUACCAGUGGCGAAGGCGGCCUUCUGGACUGACACUGACACUGAGGUGCGAAAGCGUGGGUAGCAAACAGGAUUAGAUACCCGAGUAGUC
RNAcentral lists this ribosomal RNA (466 nucleotides) under Vreelandella stevensii. RNAcentral's name for it is "partial 16S ribosomal RNA". It matches the Rfam family "Bacterial small subunit ribosomal RNA", at positions 338 to 795 of the family's 1533-position model. The record is from RNAcentral. Lineage: Bacteria; Pseudomonadati; Pseudomonadota; Gammaproteobacteria; Oceanospirillales; Halomonadaceae.